RNAcentral lists this ribosomal RNA (256 nucleotides) under Microbacterium sp. RNAcentral describes it as "partial 16S ribosomal RNA". It matches the Rfam family "Bacterial small subunit ribosomal RNA", at positions 61 to 318 of the family's 1533-position model. The record is from RNAcentral. Lineage: Bacteria; Bacillati; Actinomycetota; Actinomycetes; Micrococcales; Microbacteriaceae.
GUCGACGGUGAAAGAGAGCUUGCUCUCUGGAUCAGUGGCGAACGGGUGAUUAACACGUGAGCAAUCUGCCCCUGACUCUGGGAUAAGCGCUGGAAACGGCGUCUAAUACCGGAUACGAGCUGCGAAGGCAUCUUCAGCAGCUGGAAAGAACUUCGGUCAGGGAUGAGCUCGCGGCCUAUCAGCUAGUUGGUGAGGUAAUGGCUCACCAAGGCGUCGACGGGUAGCCGGCCUGAGAGGGUGACCGGCCACACUGGGA